CCUACGGGGGGCUGCAGUAGGGAAUCUUCCACAAUGGGCGAAAGCCUGAUGGAGCAACGCCGCGUGGGUGAAGAAGGUCUUCGGAUCGUAAAACCCUGUUGUUAGCGAAGAAAGUGCGUGAGAGUAACUGUUCACGUUUCGACGGUAUCUAACCAGAAAGCAACGGCUAACUACGUGCCAGCAGCCGCGGUAAUACGUAGGUGGCAAGCGUUAUCCGGAUUUAUUGGGCGUAAAGGGCACGCAGGCGGUCGUUUAAGUCUGAUGUGAAAGCCUUCGGCUUAACCGGAGUAGUGCAUUGGAAACUGGGAGACGUGAGUGCAGAAGAGGAGAGUGGAACUCCAUGUGUAGCGGUGAAAUGCGUAGAUAUAUGGAAGAACACCAGUGGCGAAAGCGGCUCUCUGGUCUGUAACUGACGCUGAGGUUCGAAAGCGUGGGUAGCAAACAGGAUUAGAUACCCGUGUAGUC
This 465-nucleotide ribosomal RNA is filed under the name uncultured bacterium. RNAcentral describes it as "partial 16S ribosomal RNA". It matches the Rfam family "Bacterial small subunit ribosomal RNA", at positions 338 to 795 of the family's 1533-position model. The record is from RNAcentral.